Molecule: ribosomal RNA, 506 nt
Filed under: uncultured bacterium
Lineage: Bacteria
Description: partial 16S ribosomal RNA
Rfam family: Bacterial small subunit ribosomal RNA
Source: RNAcentral
AGUGAACACUGGCGGUAGGCCUAACACAUGCAAGUCGAACGGCAGCACAGGAGAGCUUGCUCUCUGGGUGGCGAGUGGCGGACGGGUGAGGAAUACAUCGGAAUCUACUCUGUCGUGGGGGAUAACGUAGGGAAACUUACGCUAAUACCGCAUUCGACCUACGGGUGAAAGCAGGGGAUCUUCGGACCUUGCGCGAUUGAAUGAGCCGAUGACGGAUUAGCUAGUUGGCGGGGUAAAGGCCCACCAAGGCGACGAUCCGUAGCUGGUCUGAGAGCAUGACCAGCCACACUGGAACUGAGACACGGUACAGACUCCUACGGGAGGCAGCAGUGGGGAAUAUUGGACAAUGGGCGCAAGCCUGAUCCAGCCAUACCGCGUGGGUGAAGAAGGCCUUCGGGUUGUAAAGCCCUUAUGUUGGGAAAGAAAUCCAGCUGGCUAAUACCCGGUUGGGAUGACGGUACCCAAAGAAUAAGCACCGGCUAACUUCGUGCCAGCCGCCGCGGUAA